AGAGAGUGGCUAAAAAAAUCUGCUGGACUGGGAGUGUUCACAUUACGUAACAGCGCCUCAUGUGGCCAUGUUAGGAUGUGCAAAACUGAGUAGGGAAAAUGAAACACACAUGUAGCAUAGAAAAAAAAAACACUUAGGAUGUUGGAUUUCUGUGUUUCUUCUGGACUUCGGAAGCAUCACUGCUGAAAAAAAUAUGCUUUGGUGGAAUAGUUGGGUGCACUACCACUAACAACCACUAGUGGCUGCUGCAAAAGCCUCUCUACCACUGCAAAUCACAGCUGCACAUUUUGUAAAACAAGUGGGUUAAUUAAUUAAGGCCAAUAUGGGUGUGUUUUAAACCUGUACUAAUUCUUGUGACCAGCAGGGGGCAACGCUUGAUUGUAAACUGAUGUUUCCUCUGUAAAUCUUUUUUGUAAUGGUUUCAUAAUUAAAAUAGUCUUCCCCAAUGAAUCAUCAGGUUAUUUUUGUCAAUGAUGGCCUCAUUCAGAGUAAAAACGACUUGAAAUUAUACUUUUAGACUUAAUUGUAACUAUAGGAGCAAAGAGUGUUUCGAAUUGUUAAUAAUUUGAGCAAACAUGAUGCCUCAAACCAAAAAAGAGACUUAAUGGUCCACUCUAUACAGCCCUCAUUAUUUCACACAUCUUUAAAAAUACACAAUUUUAAUUAAAAUUGUAAAACUUUGUUCUAGACAGCAAAUUGAACAUUUUGUCAACAUAAAUAAAGAGGAUGGGAAAAAUACCCUGUGUUACCUUAAAUGGCAGCCAUCUGAGACCCAGCUGAAAUCUUUCCUUGCAGUUUCUUUCCACCAGGCUGUCAUCUUUUUUUUUCUUCUUUUUUUAAUGGGGGUUGGGGGGGUUGAAAAUGUGUUUCUCGGCUCUGUAAGAUUUAAAGAUUACAGUAAACCAAAAAAUCCCUAAAUGUCAGGGUCAGAGUUGUCAUCACUGAGACUUUGUGCAUGUUCAUGUAUCUGCAGAUAAAAAUAAUCUCACCAUGCAGACAGACAGAGAGUUUAAUCUGGUAGGAAAACUGCAGAAUUUACAUGAGUAAAAUCCGCAUCCUACUUCUUUUCCUGCAGCUUGAGUUUAACGUAAAGUGCAGCGGCAUCUGACAUCGGCAUGAAUGUUACACAAAAACAGCCUCUACGAGUCUAAAUAAUGAAGAAACACAACAAUACAGUCAAAAAAGACUCUCAUGCUCUUUAAAAGCACUGCUUCAUCCACCCUGCGUCCAUCUCUCUGCUACAUUGCCACCAUUUUUGUUUGUGUUUCUUCUCUGUUGCCUCUCACUUACAUCACCCUCCUCCUCCUCCUGAUCGGCCUCCUGAAUCAUAAAAAUCCUCUCUUAUUUAUCCUCUUUAGGAAUGCAGGACUGUCCAUCACUCUGGUCAUGUGAAUAUCCUAAAACAUCCUUGAUUUAUCCAGCUUUAGCUCAAGAAAAGCAGCUUCUGAAAUGCUGCAGAAAAAGGAGAUAAAUGCAGUAUAGAAUGAUAUAUAUAGAUAUAUAAAAUACUGAAAAGAUGAAUUCAGGUUUGUAAGAAAGAAAAGAGAGAAUCAAAUGUGCUACUUUGAGUCAGGACAAUCUGUCACAAGCAGCUUUGUAGAAAAAUAUUUCACUUCAUAUAAAUGUAGACAAUCUGCACUAAAGGAAAAGAGAGGAGACAGAGACGAAAAUCUUUGUUCUCUUUUCUGUCAGACAGGCUGAACCUGUCUUUGUCUGUUUUCCUUCAGCACCACAAGAUGUUGACCUACCAAACUGAACACUUACAAAAACAGUUUUAUUUUGGUUUUAGGACAUACAAAGACCGCAAAUAAUCCAAAUUAUAUGGAGGUCCUUAGGGUAAAAUGCACAAAAAUCAAACUGAUAGCCAACAUUUCAAAAAUAUUUCACAAAAUACCAAAAAAAUUAAAAAAAAAAAAAUCCCCAAAAUGAAGAAAUUAUUCAUGUAGACCUGAAACAUGGUAAAAAGCAAAAAAACAUACAAAAAACAAAAUUUUAUUGUAAAAUAAACUAACAAAAAAAACCCUUAAUUUGUAAAUUCCUUUAAUUUUUGAGAUAUUUUUGCAUUAUAUGUACAUAUUUUUAUUGUAUUUAUUAAAUUUUUCGCUGUUUUUCACAUUUUGUGAUUUUUCUUUGAUAUACAUUUUUGUGGCAUUUUUGUAUUUUAAUAUUUGUGCUUCGUGAAAUUGAUGUGCAUCCAGUAAUUUUUUUUCCCCAUUCAAACUCCAGGGCCACCAUAUCAUUGAGUUUAAAUAAAAGAAUAAUUUAAAAUAGAAUAAACAGGGAUGUUUCUUUUUUAACUUAUAAAAUUCUGUAACUCAAACUCUUAGUUCUGGUCCGAGAAAUUCUUUAGGUUGUGUUUAUAACUCUAACACUGAUUCUGCCUAUAACAGUUUCACUGACAGGAGUCAUCAUGAGUGCAGGUGUAAAGCCCUCAUAUGUGACUUCAGUAAACUGUAUAUUCAAGGCAGAGCUGUGUAGGAGAGUGUGUUCAUGCAGCAGAGCAGGAAAUCUCCUGACUUACUCACCACUUACUAAUGCAUUUUCCUCAAACACAUGCAGGAUUUAGUAUUGAUUGAGGAUGUAUAGAAGCUCUGCUGGGAAACAGGCUGCAGUCUAUACAUUCUAUAUAAUGUAAUGUAGCAGCUUGUGUACAUGGAGAGCAUAACCACAUCCAGAAACUCUAAAGGCUGAACCUCAUGUAAGAUCUUUUGGUAAGUGAAUAUCAUGUUUCUGGCUGCAGGUCAUUGAAACUGGUUCAAAAUGCCUCAAAACAGUAUAUAUUGAAUUCUAGAUAUUGUAGGUGUCUUGUGUAGAAUAUGGUUUGUAAAGCAUAUCUAUAGUAUGUAAGACUAAAGUGUAAAUAAAGACGAAAACGGGAUAAAUGCACACAAAGGCUAAAGUAAACUAAAAAAAUUCAAUUUAUUUUAAGCUUAAAGCUCCUGUGAGGAGUUUUUAGCUGUUAAUGAAGCUUUUAAUCCCUAACCUGGAAUUAAAACAGAGAUCUUUUCAGUUCCUACAAGAGACAACAAGACCAUCAGCAUAGAGACUGUCUGUUUCUAUACAAUCGUUUACAUGUCUGAAACAGCUGUUAGUCUUAACGCUUAAAAUGUACACUGCUAAAACUGAUCUGCCCAUUUUCCACUACGACAAUCACUAAAGGGUCCUCUUUUUUUAACUGACUAUUUUUCUGGUCAAAAACAGAGGUACCACUUUGUCCAUGGGGGGCGCCAAAAUAGACAGAAACAAAAAGGUCCUUAUAGGAGCUUUAAAGUAGAUUUUUCCUUUACAAAAGUGACCAGAUACAUGUUUUAGAUUUUGUACUAGAUCUUUUUCCUGUAGUCAAGAUGAACGAGAUUUGCAGAAAAUAUGAAUAAGGAAGGGAGGAUAAUUGAAUUAUGUGUGUACACCACAUCAAAUGAAUUUUAAUGUUCUUUUUUUAUGAAUGCCGAAUGAUGAAAUAAAGGAGUCAGAAAAUUUCAA
Xyrichtys novacula (pearly razorfish) is the source of this 3480-nucleotide non-coding RNA. The record is from the annotation of a GenBank genome assembly. NCBI's taxonomy places the organism in Eukaryota, Metazoa, Chordata, Actinopteri, Labriformes, Labridae.